RNAcentral lists this ribosomal RNA (469 nucleotides) under uncultured bacterium. RNAcentral describes it as "partial 16S ribosomal RNA". It matches the Rfam family "Bacterial small subunit ribosomal RNA", at positions 28 to 507 of the family's 1533-position model. The record is from RNAcentral.
GACGAACGCUGGCGGCGUGCUUAACACAUGCAAGUCGAACGGAAAGGCCCUGCUUUUGUGGGGUGCUCGAGUGGCGAACGGGUGAGUAACACGUGAGUAACCUGCCCUUGACUUUGGGAUAACUUCAGGAAACUGGGGCUAAUACCGGAUAGGAGCUCCUGCUGCAUGGUGGGGGUUGGAAAGUUUCGGCGGUUGGGGAUGGACUCGCGGCUUAUCAGCUUGUUGGUGGGGUAGUGGCUUACCAAGGCUUUGACGGGUAACCGGCCUGAGAGGGUGACCGGCCACAUUGGGACUGAGAUACGGCCCAGACUCCUACGGGAGGCAGCAGUGGGGAAUAUUGCACAAUGGGUGGAAGCCUGAUGCAGCAACGCCGUGUGCGGGAUGACGGCCUUCGGGUUGUAAACCGCUUUCGCUCAUGACGAAGCUUUGUGUGACGGUAGUGGGUAAAGAAGCACCGGCUAACUACGUG